AGAGUUUGAUCCUGGCUCAGGAUGAACGCUGGCGGCGUGCCUAACACAUGCAAGUCGAGCGAUUUACUUCGGUAAAGAGCGGCGGACGGGUGAGUAACGCGUGGGUAACCUGCCCUGUACACACGGAUAACAUACCGAAAGGUAUGCUAAUACGAGAUAAUAUACUUUUAUCUCAUGGUAGAAGUAUCAAAGCUCUGGCGGUACAGGAUGGACCCGCGUCUGAUUAGCUAGUUGGUAAGGUAACGGCUUACCAAGGCGACGAUCAGUAGCCGACCUGAGAGGGUGAUCGGCCACAUUGGAACUGAGACACGGUCCAAACUCCUACGGGAGGCAGCAGUGGGGAAUAUUGCACAAUGGGCGAAAGCCUGAUGCAGCAACGCCGCGUGAGCGAUGAAGGCCUUCGGGUCGUAAAGCUCUGUCCUCAAGGAAGAUAAUGACGGUACUUGAGGAGGAAGCCCCGGCUAACUACGUG
RNAcentral lists this ribosomal RNA (472 nucleotides) under uncultured bacterium. Its description in RNAcentral is "bacterial SSU rRNA". It matches the Rfam family "Bacterial small subunit ribosomal RNA", at positions 8 to 507 of the family's 1533-position model. The record is from RNAcentral.